UACGUAGGGUGCAAGCGUUGUCCGGAAUUAUUGGGCGUAAAGAGCUCGUAGGCGGUUUGUCGCGUCGGCUGUGAAAGCCCGGAGCUCAACUCCGGGUCUGCAGUCGAUACGGGCAGACUAGAGUGUUGCAGGGGAGACUGGAAUUCCUGGUGUAGCGGUGAAAUGCGCAGAUAUCAGGAGGAACACCGGUGGCGAGGGCGGGUCUCUGGGCAACAACUGACGCUGAGGAGCGAAAGCGUGGGGAGCGAACAGGAUUAGAAACCCUGGUAGU
This 271-nucleotide ribosomal RNA is filed under the name uncultured bacterium. RNAcentral's name for it is "partial 16S ribosomal RNA". It matches the Rfam family "Bacterial small subunit ribosomal RNA", at positions 524 to 794 of the family's 1533-position model. The record is from RNAcentral.